UUCAUUCCUUCGAAACUUCCCCAAAAGAACUUUGCAAAUAUUUGAUGCAGUUGAUCAAUCACUCUUUUAGGUAGGUUCAUGGCUGCUAGAAUAUAGACUGGCAUGGACUGUAGAACAUGGUUAAUAAGGACGAAUCUACCUCCAAAGGAGAGCAACUUGUUCUGCCACAUUAAAAUCUUCUUUGUCACCUUUCUCAAGAGGUAACUGUAAUGAUUCUUGUUCUUCCUUCCAUAGAAAACCGAACAACCCAGAUAUGUAAAUGGGAAAUUUCCUUGUCUUAUGCCUGUCAAUAUUCUUAAUCUUAUUGCCACAAUCAACGGUGUCUUAUCAUGCAAAUAGAAGAAACUUUUACUUUUAUUGAUGAGUUGCCCUGAGAUAGUCUCGUAAUUUUUAAGUGCCUCCAUCAUCUUCCAAAUAGACACCUUGUCUCCAGAAUAGAAAAGGAUAGUAUCAUCUGCAUAGGAGAGAUGAUUAAUUUUGGAACUCCAUUUAGGUAAUCCAUAUCCUUUAAAUUGUUCAUCCUGUAGUAGUCUAUUAAGGCCUCUGGAUAACAUUUCUGUUGCAAUAAUGAAUAGGGUAGGUGAUAGGGGAUCCUCUUGUUUAACUCCUCUUGAAGAUUGAAAGAAACCAUGAGAAUGCCUAUUUAUCAACACUAAAUACCAGUUGUUGGAAAUUAGCCUCCAAACCAUAUCAAUAAUCACUUCAGAGAAUCCAAAUUUCCUUAACACCUUAGUGAGAAAAAUCCAAGACACCCUGUCAUAUGUCUUUGUCAUGUCCAGCUUCACCACCACAUUGAUGUUCUUAUUUCUAAUGUUGAUAUCUCUUAUGAUUUCCUGAGCUAGCAGAACAUUUUCCGUAAUACUUCUCCCUCUCACAAAUCCAGCCUGAUUCUGUGAAAUAAUAUUAGGUAGUACCUCCGCAAUUCUUUCACGUAGCACCCUGGAAAUGAUCUUGUUAGUGAAGGUGCUUAAGCUAAUCGGUCUAAGAUCUGAGAAUUCCUUCACUAUUUCCUUUUUUGGUAAUAAAACCAAAUUGGUAUGAGUAAUGUAUUUGGGAAGCUCAUUCCCAUAGAAAAAAGCUCUUACCAACUUGGUGAUAUUAUCUCCAAUAAUGUCCAAGCAGGUCUGAAAAAAUACUCCUGAAAAACCAUCUGGGCCGCAAGCACUGUCACCAUUGAGUUUAAAAACCACCGUCUUCACCUCAUCCUUGUCUGGGAGUGCUAUCGUGCUCUCAUUUUGUUCAUCCGAGAUCAGCUUUGUUAGACACCGCAAUUCCUCCCACUCUUGAUUCCAUCUUUCUUCUGAAAACUGCUCUUUGAAAAAUUCCACAUGGAAAAAAAAUGGGUGUACUGAACCAUAUUUCUGAUGUGUUUAAUUGCUCCCCUGAUCACUCUAAGCACAUAUAAUAUACAAAGUUAAAAAGUAAUUUUCACUUCUAUUCAAACAAUAUAUAUCGUUGUUUCCUUUUCCUUUUCUUUCUUUUUUCUUUUUCAAUAAAUAAUGACAGAAUUGAAAUUCAGUUCAAUUCAAUAAUAAACAACAAUAAUAUAAUUAAACUAAUCAAAACUAAUAAAAAAUUAAUACUCAUGUAAACAACUACUUUUACAUGAUUUGUUUAUUCACUAACUCUUACCAAAUAAAAAAAAAUAUUCAUUCUUUCAUGUUUAUGAAACAUGAAAAGUGAUCAAUUUUUCCUUCAGGGUGCUCGAAAAAGUCUGCUACAUUCAAGCAUGCGAUGUCAACAUUAUUUUCAGGGAGAAAAUUAGCCUCAGAAUUUCUCUCUUUCUUCUUUAGCGAUGCUUGAUAAAGGCCACAUAAGUGCUUGAGAGCACGACAGUCACGUGAAUAGUGUCCUUUUUCACCACAUCGAAAAUAAGUAAUUGAUAUACGUUUCUCAUCUUUUCUCUUUUUAUUCGAUGAAUGAUUAACCCUUUUUUUUGGUCAUCACGACCACGACCACAAUCUUUUCCACGCCUAGCAUGGUGAGCAUGCACAUCAUUCACCUCAGGGAAUGGUGCAGAUCUAGUAGGCCGAUUCUCGUGACUUUUCAUCAACAAAUCAUAAUUUUGUUCAGCCACGAGAAGAUGAGAACUCAGUUCAGUAUAUUUCUUGAAAUCUUUUUCUCGAUAUUGUUGCUGUAAUAGCACAUUUGAGGAUGAAAAGUGGAGAGCAUCUUUUCUAUCGUAGCGUCAUCAUUAACCAUCUCUCCAAAUAGUUUCAAUUGAGAAGAAAUUCUGAACAUGGCAGAAUUGUACUCAUGAACAAACUUAUAGUCUUGAAAUCUCAGAUGCAUCCAUUUAUAUCGUGUUUUCGGGAGGAUGACCAUCUUUAAGUGGUCAAACCUUUCUUUUAGGUUAUUCCACAAUAUGAGUGGAUACUUAAUAGUAAGGUAUUCAAUUUUCAGAAUUUUGUCAAGAUGAUGAUGCAAGAAAAUCAUAGGCUUAGCACGAUUUUGACUAGAUGUUGUAUUUUCUUUCUUUACGGCGUCUCUAAGACCCAUAACAUCUAGGCGGAUUUCAGCCUUCAUCACCCAUGAAAUAUAGUUCUUGCCCGAACUUUGAAGGGCAACGAACUCACACUAACUUUGAAGGGCAACGAACUCACACUAGGUAAGAUUGUUAGACAUGUGAAAAGGGAAAAAAAAUAAUACCUUAGCUUUCAAAUUUGAGACGGUAGAAUCUCGUGCUGAUAACGUGUUAUAAAAAGUAAAGCAGAGAAGAACAAGAGUGGAGAGAGUAAUUGUUAUUUCUCUCGAGAAGAACAAGAGUAGAGAGAGUAAUUGUUAUUUCUCUCGAGGAUGAUUUACAAUGAAGGAAGCUCUACUAUUUAUAGGGGAAAUUUAUUCCUAGUUUCUAAGUAAAAGACAGAUAUAUCAAAUCCUGAUAGACAUCAACUAGAUCUUGAUAGACAUUCACUACAACUGAUAUACAUCAAUAUCAUAAUAAGAUUUGUAGUUAUAUUAUUAAUUAUAAAAAGAGUUCUAUUUUACUUGCACUUUGAAAUGACAAUGACAUAACAAAUUAGAAAUAUCAAUCACAAAAUUUUUAUUCAUGUUUGUUAUGGUUGUGGGUAUAAUAUAUGAUUUCAAGCGUGAAAAAUUAUAUAUAUAAUAUAGAAGAUAUCGAAGUCACUGUUGCUAAAAAAAAGUUCAUUAUCGAAGAUGAUUGAGGGACAUGCUUCUGAUUUUGAUUCGCGUAUGUGCUGCUAGUUCUGUUUCACUAUCUAUUAUUACUGCUCUCCUGUCGGUGUGACAAUCUGAGUAUGUUGUGCUCUCUUUCCUGCUCAAACGAAUUCAGCAAGUAGAAAAAUUUGGGUUAAAAAAAGAAAAUGAAGGGAAUUUCCAUACUUCUACAGUUGGAGAUGAAUUAUUAUAACAUUAAAUGGUACCCUUAAGAAAAUAUUUGUUUGAUAUACUAUAUUGAGUUAUAAUUUAAAAAUAAAUUAGUUAGGUAUUGGAAAUUUUUUUCAAAAAAAAAAAAAAUUAAGAAAUUAAACUUGGUAUGAGUUGGAUGAGUUACACAUUAUUUAGCACAUUUUAACUUUAUUAAAUUAUCGAAUCCACACAUUUUAACUUGAUCUAUUUGGUUCGACUCACCAUUUGACACCCCUAGAUACUUUUAGGUGAUAACUGCCCUACCGUGUUUAGAAAUGUGAUUAGAUCAAUUUAAAAAUAAGAAAAAUACAUCAUUUCAUCUUUAAAUCAGUAUACAUAAUUUACUUUAGAUCCUAAACUAUAUAGAUAAUUAUAUAUCCCCCUUAAUAACUCUAAAGUGAAUUAAAUUUAACCCUUCGAAGCCCAAGUGAAGUCACAUGUUGCUGGAUGUGUUAAAUAGAUAACUUUGUCUUUUAUUUUAUUUUUUAAACUAAAAUUUUCCUUUUAAAUAAUGUAACGAUUAUAAAAUCCCCAAAUUCUCCUAAAAAUUCUAAUUUACUCUUCUUUCUCAAUCUAUCCAAAAUUUGCUCCAUCUAUAAAAUUUAAGCAAAAAUUGAGAUUGAUUUCUCUUCCAAUUUAAAGAAUCCUAUUUUAUUUUUGUAGCACAUAAUGAGGUCAGUUAAUUUGACUAAAUUUUGUAUGAAAGAAAAUGAUAAUGCUUUGUACAAAGAAGUUUGUUGUAAUCAUGAAUUUUUGUUGCAUAUGAAGACAUCUUGAACUUCGAGGAAUUUUGGCAUAAAAUAUUGGGCAUGUCCUUAUUAUGGGGUAAAUAUUAAUUUUUGUCACUUUUACUAGUUCGAUAGAUUUGAUUAAAGUCUAAUUCAUUUUUUAUUUGUCACCAUUGAAGGGUCAAAGAUUUUGAGACUUUUAGUGUUGAAGGGAUAGAGAAGAUAUUAAUUCGAGGUCCAAAGAUGUGAUUCCUAAACUAAUAGAGAAAUUAGGUGACCUUGAGAAUUUUUUGAGUCUUCUCAAUGUAUUGACAAUCAUGUAUUGGUUAAUGAAGUUGAAAAAUUUAAGUUGAAUAAAUUUGUUGAGGAAGCUUCUCACGAAGUAGACAAGCCCAAAGAAUCCAAACAAGAUGAUAAGUGUGUUGAUAUGAAAUUAGAGAAGUUGAAAGAGAGAUUGAGAAGAUCAAAGAAAGAGAGAAGAAGUGGAGAAUAAUUGUCAAAUUUAUUGUGUUUUGUUCCUUUGUACUACUAAUAGCUAUAAGCUAUUGGCUUGGGAUAAUACAUAUAAACAAGGUUCAAUGAGGUUUUUUUAGCACUAGGUUGUUGUUAGAUUAUAUGUAGCAUAUUUUGUAUUGAACGGUGCAGCUUCUUUAAGCUUCUUUUGUAAUAUAAUUGGGUUGGUGGUUGUCUCUUGAGCACUAGGUUAUUAGAUGAUAUCUAGCAUAUUUUGUAUUGAAUGGAGUAGCUUCUUUAAGCUUCUUUUGUAAUGUACUUUAGCUAGUAAUUGUAUCUUGAUAUAUAUGAAGAGAGGUUGAAUUGAUUGCAUUUUAAGCAUUUG
This 4938-nucleotide long non-coding RNA is filed under the name Capsicum annuum. RNAcentral's name for it is "long non-coding RNA (CANN_LNC019797)". Lineage: Eukaryota; Viridiplantae; Streptophyta; Magnoliopsida; Solanales; Solanaceae. The record is from RNAcentral.